AUGAACGCUGGCGGCGUGCCUAAUACCUGCAAGUAGAACGCUGAAGGAGGAGCUUGCUCUUCUGGAUGAGUUGCGAACGGGUGAGUAACGCGUAGGUAACCUGCCUGGUAGCGGGGGAUAACUAUUGGAAACGAUAGCUAAUACCGCAUGACAACAGUUAUUGCAUGAUAACUGUUUAAAAGGGGCAACUGCUCCACUACCAGAUGGACCUGCGUUGUAUUAGCUAGUUGGUGAGGUAACGGCUCACCAAGGCGACGAUACAUAGCCGACCUGAGAGGGUGAUCGGCCACACUGGGACUGAGACACGGCCCAGACUCCUACGGGAGGCAGCAGUAGGGAAUCUUCGGCAAUGGACGGAAGUCUGACCGAGCAACGCCGCGUGAGUGAAGAAGGUUUUCGGAUCGUAAAGCUCUGUUGUAAGAGAAGAACGAGUGUGAGAGUGGAAAGUUCACACUGUGUCGGUAUCUUACCAGAAAGAGACGGCUAACUACGUG
This 494-nucleotide ribosomal RNA is filed under the name uncultured bacterium. RNAcentral's name for it is "partial 16S ribosomal RNA". It matches the Rfam family "Bacterial small subunit ribosomal RNA", at positions 29 to 507 of the family's 1533-position model. The record is from RNAcentral.